AAAUCUGACCAGGGACACGGGACACGCCGGCCUAAACACGGGGGCGGGGUAGAAUAGUUAUAGAUCAAGAUCAAAGGGAGAUGUUAUACUUAUAGUAUAUACUUAUAGUAGUAAAGAAAUGAACUGUGAACAUAUGUUUCAUUUCCAUAGAAAAAAAAAAACCCAGAGUGAGGAAUGUUACGUCCGCCUUCUUUAAAAGAAAAAGAAAAGGACAAGAAGAAGGAAAACAAUCCGCUGGUUACUCCAGAUCGCCCUGUUCCCCUCCCCCCGCCUCCUCUGGUCAGACCUACCUAUGCAUCUCUGACUCUGCCGCUGUCUCAUGCAUGUCUUGCAUAACCUUAUGCUGUGACUUAUGAAGAAACAGCGUGGUAUGGCAUCCAUGUUUACACUCCUCAAGCCUUCCUUGCUUGUUUCAGCUAAAUUGUUGUGUUAUGCCCUGUAUUGCUCAACAUGCAGAUACAAAACAACCAAGCUGGGUUUCUACUUUUUUGCCGAGUUCUUUUGUCCAUUUGAAUGAAACGCAUGCUGUUUUAAAUGAAAUUUUCGUCUGUCUGCCUGUCUGUGUGAUACUACAGAAUCACGAAAAGGUUUUAGAAUGCGCGCUCACUAGUCAAGGGAAGUCACUCUCAUCACUCGUCCUUUCGCAGACGACCGCAGAUCUCAAGUGACAAAGCGAAGGAUUAACAGCAAUGAAAAGAAGAUAAAAAGUAAAGUAAAAGUUCGUCGGCAAAAAAUGAAGAGGUGAAGAAUAACACUUGUUCUAUGAAAUCGAGAGACAGAAGUGUACUGCUGUGCCAGAGACAACAAACUCGCUCAUAUAUUAUCGCAAAUGGUGCUGUAAGGAUCUCAAAAUAAAAUGCAGCGUUCGAGUCCUCAAACUGAUUGAAGUCACUUCGAGGAACACAGAGCACAGGCCAUCAAAAGAAGCCUGCAUCAUCGAGAACUUGAGAGCUCCAUGCACUUGGAAGGGCCGUCAAGAAAGUCUUUUUCGCGAAGUCUUCUGCAUACAUAUCGCCUUUCGUGGAGGGGGAAAAAAAAAGAGACUUCUCGAUAGUCGAUCCCAACAAGGGUGAAAACUGCACGAGCCAGCUCGUGCCUGCAUCAGAGCUCGGCGACCACUCGACUUCAAAGCUGACCGCGUGGUCCUUCUGUCAACCCGUGGUCUCGCCUUCACAGAGUUCCAGGCUGAAUACUUCAAACCAAAAAUUGGCAGCGAGUUCCAUGGUUUGGGCCUAGCACAAGAGAAGGAUCUCUCCCUAAACCUUCUGAUUCGAGCGUUUGGCAUCUGUAAGAUACUGUGGGAUGUCGAAGAACCCGAUCCCGCUGCGUGCCUUCACAGAAAGAUAAAACCGCCGACUAAAGCAGCAAAGCUAAGUGGAACGACCGCUGCUAACACCACUAAGCAGCGGGCAAGCUUCCGACUAACAACUUUGCCUGCACCUGUGAACAGGUCAACAGUUCUUCUGGACUUCUGUUAGCCAAGUGGUUCUUCCCGUCGGCAACUUUCCUUUCAGGCGGUCCCUGUGAUCUUCAAACCACGCCCACGGUGCACUACACGGUUUCCUAGACGGCGGGAUACCCGGAGAGAGUCUUUCAGCUGGGGACAUAGGUUCAUAGGAGACCCUAACGGUUUGCCUCUCGAAAAGGCCGGAGACGUUAUGUGGCCGAUGGGACGCUGUGAUAGCCCCACGUCUCCAUGAGGCGACAGCUUAUCUUAGUCGUAAACAGGUUCAACAGCAGCUGAUGUUGGGGACGACCACGUGGUCCAAGUUUGACGCGAUAAACUCAGCUCGUGCAGCAGACAACGGUGGCGCCACGAGGGUUUGAAACUUCAAAGACAAGUACCGCCCAUGGUCCCUGGCUUCGGUAAAUCCUCAAAGGUGAGCUUGAGCCUGCCAGGUCAUGCGUCUAGCACCUGAGAUUAGGACUGUCCAUGUGAAGCAAGCCUCGAUUCUUUUUUUUUUUUUUUUUUUCGGUCGGCGGUCGUGUUCUCAGCCACUGCGAGGCGCUGGGACAGAUAGUGAUCAAUGUUGAAACAGAUAUGUCGUUUAUGGUGACUGAUGAUUUUUGGUAAAAUUGAUUAGGCCUAUAGGGGGAAAAAGCUAAUAAAAUCUGUGUGCAUGAAUGCUUCAUUGUUCACGCCAUUUCUGGAGCUUGUCUUAUGAUUAUUAAUAGAUUAUUGGCACUUGAAGCAUCUUGAUAUCUUGGAAACUUUAUAAAUGUUGUUUCAUCACGUUGUCAGAUUAAGACUUAUGACUAAGAAAGAUUAAGAGGAAAAAGAAGAAGAAAAUGAUGAUGACGAUGACGACGACAACGAUGAUGAUGAUGAUUGUGGACGUGCUGGUGGUGUGGCUGUAGUUCAGCUGUACAAUAAUAUUUGCCUGGAACUAAAGCAGUUCCUAUCUCUUUAAGCUCUCUUUGCAUUUCGCUUUCAGUAAGUAGCUUACAUGAAUAUCUGUGGGAGUUUACCUCGAAUCUCACUGGUGCUGUUUACAUGAAAGCACGAAAGCUUGAUGUUAUUAUCGUUAUCCUUUGGACGGCAUCUUCACAGUAUUUACUUGAAAUGGUUUAUCGCCGAAACGUUUACAAAUGUUACAUUUUUUAGCUUUGAACAUUUAUGCAAAUUUGUUGAAAAUGCUUUUACUCUUCUACGCUGUUCUCUGAAGCUUUUACCUCCAUUUCUCAUUUUUAUUCUCAAUAUUUUUCUUUGUUUGUGAGUGUGUCGAUGCAUUAAAAUGUUUGGGAUCGUGCUUGAGUCCAUGUGUGUAGUUGCAUAUUCGUGUGUUAUGCAUGCGAUAAAUGUCAGUAUAUUUUAAACUUGUUCAUGUGUGAAGUAUCUGGAAUAGUGUGGGAGGAGAGUGCUUGUGUGUGUCUUCCUCUUGGUUGUGAUCGCGGUGCAGAGGACAUAUAUGGAACUGAAGAGAAAUAUUCUUUUUUGUAUAUCCCUUGUAUCUCUUCGUUCUUAACGUGUCAUCUUGCCUUCAACAACUAGUCCGCUCGGGUCCAAAACUUGCUUACUUUAAUUAACAUACCUGCCCAAGCUCAUUGGUCAAACAUUGCGGGUUUAUGGCCAAACCGAGGCUUACUGGAAACGCAGAAAACUAGAUUCAGUGGGUUGGCGGUCGUCCUUUGAAACGACAAAUUUCCUGUUGACACUCGGCUCGCGUCGAGUAAACUAUUUGGAGUUAGGUGACUUUAGCCGUCAGUUCGGUUUUUCGGAACGCCAAGAGCCUCAUUACCUUGACAAAACAACGCGUGAGCUGCUAAAGCCACGUCCUCA
Molecule: unclassified non-coding RNA, 3280 nt
Filed under: Pomacea canaliculata
Lineage: Eukaryota; Metazoa; Mollusca; Gastropoda; Architaenioglossa; Ampullariidae
Description: forkhead box protein D3-like, transcript variant X10
Source: RNAcentral